UAGAACAGUUUCCUUGAAAAAUAUCAAGGAAAGAAGCAUCAAAAGAUAAUGGAUUUCUCCAUUAAGAGAAGAACGAACUUGAAUAAGAUUUAGUUCGUUGUAUGUUAUCUAUUACCAUAUAUAGGAUAUAUACUUCUAAAACAAUAUGAUUGUCUAUUAGAAGAUCUUCCAAAAUUUUCAUGACUCCAUAAGAUGUAGUUGGAAAGAAAGACAAAUCUCAAGCAUGUUAAGAUUUGGGGUUGUGUGCUAAUAAGCAAUAUUUGUUUGAUAACAAUCUUGUGGGAUAUCCUUAAAUUAACUUUUGGAUAUCGCUUCUAUAAACCAACUAACAAAUGUUGUUUUGUUGGGUAGUUCAUUGUAAUCUUACAAUAUGAUUUGCCUAAGUGCAAAUGAAUGAGAGAUAGAACUCAAAGAAUGGGUUCUUUGAGAGACAAGAUAAUAAUCAACAAAUAUAACAACCUAGUUCCUAUACCACAAAGCUCCAAGGUAGUCGAGAAGGAUUUAUAAACCGUCUCAGUUGAAUGGUUUGAACUUU
Molecule: long non-coding RNA, 535 nt
Filed under: Malus domestica (apple)
Lineage: Eukaryota; Viridiplantae; Streptophyta; Magnoliopsida; Rosales; Rosaceae
Description: long non-coding RNA (MDOM_LNC013291)
Source: RNAcentral